AGAGUUUGAUCAUGGCUCAGAAUCAACGCUGGCGGCGCGCUUAACACAUGCAAGUCGCACGAGAAAGUGGAGCAAUCCAUGAGUACAGUGGCGUACGGGUGAGUAACACGUGGAUCAUCUACCUCUUAGUGGGGAAUAACCCUGGGAAACCGGGGCUAAUACCGCAUAAGCUCGAGAGAGGAAAGCAGCAAUGCGCUGAGAGAGGAGUCCGCGGCCGAUUAGCUAGUUGGCAGGGUAAACGCCUACCAAGGCAAAGAUCGGUAGCCGGCCUGAGAGGGCACACGGCCACACUGGCACUGAAACACGGGCCAGACUCCUACGGGAGGCAGCAGUGGGGAAUCUUGCACAAUGGGGGAAACCCUGAUGCAGCGACGCCGCGUGAGCGAUGAAGCCCUUCGGGGUGUAAAGCUCUUUCGGCAGGGACGAUCAUGACGGUACCUGCAGAAGCAGCUGCGGCUAACUACGUGCCAGCAGCCGCGGUAAUACGUAGGCAGCGAGCGUUGUUCGGAGUUACUGGGCGUAAAGGGUGUGUAGGCGGUUGCUUAAGUUUGGUGUGAAAUCUCCCGGCUCAACUGGGAGGGUGCGCCGAAUACUGAGUGACUCGAGUGCGGGAGAGGAGAGUGGAAUUCCUGGUGUAGCGGUGAAAUGCGUAGAUAUCAGGAGGAACACCGGCGGUGUAGACGGCUCUCUGGACCGUAACUGACGCUGAGACACGAAAGCGUGGGUAGCAAACAGGAUUAGAUACCCUGGUAGUCCACGCCCUAAACGAUGCAUAUUUGGUGUGGGUCAUUCAGUUGAUCCGUGCCGGAGCUAACGCGUUAAAUAUGCCGCCUGGGGAGUACAGUCGCAAGGCUGAAACUCAAAGGAAUUGACGGGGCCCGCACAAGCGGUGGAGCAUGUGGUUCAAUUCGACGCAACGCGAAGAACCUUACCUGGGCUCGAACGGCUGGGUACCCGCG
RNAcentral lists this ribosomal RNA (959 nucleotides) under uncultured bacterium. Its description in RNAcentral is "bacterial SSU rRNA". It matches the Rfam family "Bacterial small subunit ribosomal RNA", at positions 8 to 1001 of the family's 1533-position model. The record is from RNAcentral.